Molecule: ribosomal RNA, 468 nt
Filed under: uncultured bacterium
Lineage: Bacteria
Description: partial 16S ribosomal RNA
Rfam family: Bacterial small subunit ribosomal RNA
Source: RNAcentral
GACGAACGCUGGCGGCGUGCUUAACACAUGCAAGUCGAACGGAAAGGCCCUGCUUUUGUUCGGUUCUCGAGUGGCGAACGGGUGAGUAACACGUGAGUAACCUGCCCUUGACUUUUGGAUAACUUCACGGAACUGGGGCUAAUACCGGAUAUAAGCUCCUGCUGCACGGUGGGCGUUGGAACGUUUCGGCGUUUGGGUAUAGACUGGCGGGUUAUCCGCUUGUUGGUGGGGUAGUUGAAUCCCAAGGGUUUGACGGAUAGCCAGCAUGAGAGGGGUACCGGGAACAUUGGGACUGAGAUACGGCACAGAAGCCAACGGGAGGCAGAAGUGGGGAAAAUUGCAGAAUGGGCGGGAGCGUGGUGUAACAACGCGGGGUGCGGGAAAAUGGCCUAAGAGUUGUAAACCAAUGUCGCAUGAAAUGAACAGGGAGUGACGGUAAUGGGUAAAGAAGCAACGGCUAACUACGUG